This 72-nucleotide transfer RNA is filed under the name Sauvagella madagascariensis (Madagascar round herring). RNAcentral describes it as "tRNA-Val". It matches the Rfam family "tRNA". From Rfam's summary of the family: Transfer RNA (tRNA) molecules are approximately 80 nucleotides in length. Their secondary structure includes four short double-helical elements and three loops (D, anti-codon, and T loops). Further hydrogen bonds mediate the characteristic L-shaped molecular structure. tRNAs have two regions of fundamental functional importance: the anti-codon, which is responsible for specific mRNA codon recognition, and the 3' end, to which the tRNAs corresponding amino acid is attached (by aminoacyl-tRNA synthetases). tRNAs cope with the degeneracy of the genetic code in two manners: having more than one tRNA (with a specific anti-codon) for a particular amino acid; and 'wobble' base-pairing, i.e. permitting non-standard base-pairing at the 3rd anti-codon position. The record is from RNAcentral. Lineage: Eukaryota; Metazoa; Chordata; Actinopteri; Clupeiformes; Clupeidae.
CAGGGUGUGGCUGAGAUAGUUAAGCGACUCUCUUACACUGAGUAGACAUCCAUGCAAGUUGGAUUACCCUGA